GUCGAACGAAUCCCAUCUGGGUAACUGGGUGGGGGAAGUGGCGAAAGGGGCAGUAAGGCAUGGGUAACCUACCCCGGGGACGGGCAUAGCCUCCCUAACGGGAGGGUAAUUCCUGGCGAUUCGUGUGUGUGGCAUCAUACGCACGGGAAAUGAAUUUCGCCUCGGGAGGGUCCCAUGUGGUAUUAGCUUGUUGGUGAGGUAACGGCUCACCAAGGCCAAGAUGCCUAGCGGGUGUGAGAGCACGACCCGCGCCACUGGCACUGAGACACUGGCCAGACUCCUACGGGAGGCUGCAGUCGAGGAUCUUCGGCAAUGGGCGCAAGCCUGACCGAGCGACGCCGCGUGCGCGAUGAAGGCCUUCGGGUUGUAAAGCGCUGUCGAGGGGAAGAAAAGCCCGCAAGGGUUUGAUCGACCCCUGGAGGAAGCACGGGCUAAGUUCGUGCCAGCAGCCGCGGUAAGACGAACCGUGCGAACGUUGUUCGGAAUCACUGGGCUUAAAGGGCGCGUAGGCGGGCCAUCAAGUCAGGAGUGAAAUCCUCCAGCUCAACUGGAGAACAGCUUUUGAUACUGGUGGUCUCGAGGGGGGUAGGGGCAUGUGGAACUUCCGGUGGAGCGGUGAAAUGCGUAGAUAUCGGAAGGAACGCCGGUGGCGAAAGCGACGUGCUGGACCCUUUCUGACGCUGAGGCGCGAAAGCCAGGGGAGCAAACGGGAUUAGAUACCCCGGUAGUCCUGGCCCUAAACGAUGGGUACUAGAUUGUGGACGGACAUGGGUUCACAGUCGAAGCAAAAGUGUUAAGUACCCCGCCUGGGGAGUAUGGUCGCAAGGCUGAAACUCAAAGGA
This 842-nucleotide ribosomal RNA is filed under the name uncultured Planctomycetota bacterium. RNAcentral's name for it is "bacterial SSU rRNA". It matches the Rfam family "Bacterial small subunit ribosomal RNA", at positions 61 to 908 of the family's 1533-position model. The record is from RNAcentral. Lineage: Bacteria; Pseudomonadati; Planctomycetota.